This is a long non-coding RNA of Cyprinus carpio carpio, 758 nucleotides long. Lineage: Eukaryota; Metazoa; Chordata; Actinopteri; Cypriniformes; Cyprinidae. The record is from Ensembl.
UUUAGUUUUAAAGCUAUACUAGAUGGAGUAAUAAACAGACAAAAUUAAUUCCAGGUUGGAGGUUAAUCAUUGAAAUUAAUGAGCUUGAUGACAAUUAAGAGCACUUAAACAUCGAAGCCAUCAGUGAAGCUGAUUGAGAAUAGCUGUAAAGCAGUAAGUAGCAGUACUGCUUGAUUAAGUUUCUGAAAGAGGUAUUUGAUUUGGUUCUAGUCUUGGAUGAUCACUCCAUAUGGCUAUGAUUUGUUUUUGGAACUAUUUUAGCCCUUUUCCUCUUUGCUGUUAAUGGAGAGAAAUCAGGACCAUCCUUGCUUUCCUGCAAUGACUGAGUCUGGCUCUAAUGGCAAAUUUUGUGUAAGUCUAAAGCUCCACGAGUAGCUAGAAAAUUAUUGCAGAAACUUAGGGUGGAACUUCAAGGGAAGUUCUUCAAAAUGACAGAAGAGAGAAGUCAUGUUUAAACCUUACCUGGCUUUGAACUUCAUCCAAACAGACAAACCCGGACAAACCAGGACAAACUGAUGUAGUCAUGUCAAAAUCUACAGCUGUAUCUGCUACGUUUGACAUUGAUCUCGGCAUCCUUCUUCAACGGCACCUCAAUUGCAAGCAAGGCAGUCUAUGUUCUGGAUGGCAGCCAGUGACCCAACAAAGUGAUGCUGAAUCUCCAUACAAACCAGAAUGGACUGGAUGCUUUCUCCCUCACCACUGCUAACUUUCCUAAAGCCAAUCUGAAUUAUCUUAUCCUUUUUAUAAACUCUUGCAAG